UACGAAGGGGGCUAGCGUUGUUCGGAAUUACUGGGCGUAAAGCGCACGUAGGCGGAUACUUAAGUUAGGGGUGAAAUCCCAGGGCUCAACCCUGGAACUGCCUCUAAUACUGGGUAUCUUGAGUUCGAGAGAGGUGAGUGGAAUUCCGAGUGUAGAGGUGAAAUUCGUAGAUAUUCGGAGGAACACCAGUGGCGAAGGCGGCUCACUGGCUCGAUACUGACGCUGAGGUGCGAAAGCGUGGGGAGCAAACAGG
This 253-nucleotide ribosomal RNA is filed under the name uncultured bacterium. RNAcentral describes it as "partial 16S ribosomal RNA". It matches the Rfam family "Bacterial small subunit ribosomal RNA", at positions 524 to 776 of the family's 1533-position model. The record is from RNAcentral.